RNAcentral lists this ribosomal RNA (255 nucleotides) under Salmonella enterica subsp. enterica serovar Indiana. RNAcentral describes it as "partial 23S ribosomal RNA". It matches the Rfam family "Bacterial large subunit ribosomal RNA", at positions 1158 to 1385 of the family's 2925-position model. Lineage: Bacteria; Pseudomonadati; Pseudomonadota; Gammaproteobacteria; Enterobacterales; Enterobacteriaceae. The record is from RNAcentral.
UCACCCAAGACAACUUUGCGGAGUUGACGAUUGACGGAGCGAAGCGACGUCAAAGCGUUCAUUAAAGUCGAGUUGGCUUAGGGAUACGUUCGUUGGGUAGGGGAGCGUUCUGUAAGCCUGUGAAGGUAUGCUGUGAGGCAUGCUGGAGGUAUCAGAAGUGCGAAUGCUGACAUAAGUAACGAUAAAGCGGGUGAAAAGCCCGCUCGCCGGAAGACCAAGGGUUCCUGUCCAACGUUAAUCGGGGCAGGGUGAGUC